Molecule: ribosomal RNA, 464 nt
Filed under: uncultured bacterium
Lineage: Bacteria
Description: bacterial SSU rRNA
Rfam family: Bacterial small subunit ribosomal RNA
Source: RNAcentral
AUUGAACGCUGGCGGCAUGCUUUACACAUGCAAGUCGAACGGUAACGGGGACUUCGGUCUGCCGACGAGUGGCGAACGGGUGAGUAAUAUAUCGGAACGUGCCCAGUAAUGGGGGAUAGCUCGGCGAAAGCCGGAUUAAUACCGCAUACGCCCUGAGGGGGAAAGUGGGGGAUCUUCGGACCUCACGUUAUUGGAGCGGCCGAUAUCAGAUUAGCUAGUUGGUGGGGUAAAGGCCUACCAAGGCGACGAUCUGUAGCUGGUCUGAGAGGAUGAUCAGCCACACUGGGACUGAGACACGGCCCAGACUCCUACGGGAGGCAGCAGUGGGGAAUUUUGGACAAUGGGCGAAAGCCUGAUCCAGCCAUGCCGCGUGAGUGAAGAAGGCCUCGGUUGUAAGUACGUCUUUCUAGUGGAAAGGAAAGGACGGAAGUAGGGUUUAAGUAACCCGUUACGUCCGGUACGUA